Molecule: ribosomal RNA, 469 nt
Filed under: uncultured Gram-positive bacterium
Lineage: Bacteria
Description: partial 16S ribosomal RNA
Source: RNAcentral
ACGACUUCACCCCAAUCACCGACCCCACCCUCGACGCCUGCCUCGCAUUGCGCGUUGGCUCAGCGGCUUCAGGUGUUGCCGACUUUCGUGGUGUGACGGGCGGUGUGUACAAGACCCGGGAACGUAUUCACCGUGGUGUGCUGACCCACGGUUACUAGCAACUCCAACUUCAUGCAGGCGAGUUGCAGCCUACAAUCUGAACUGAGACCGAUUUUGAUGGGAUUAGCUCCCCCUCGCGGGUUGGCUGCCCGUUGUGACCGGCCAUUGUAGCGUGUGUGUAGCCCAAGGCGUAAAGGCCGUGCUGACUUGACGUCAUCCCCGCCUUACUCCGCGUUGAUAGCGGCGGUCCCGCUAGACAUCCUAACUAGCGGAAGGGGUUGCGCUCGUUGCGGGACUGAACCCAACAUCUCACGACACGAGCUGACGACAGCCAUGCAACACCUGAGCAAUACCCCCAAAAGGAAACCCC